Molecule: transfer RNA, 73 nt
Filed under: Diaphorina citri (Asian citrus psyllid)
Lineage: Eukaryota; Metazoa; Arthropoda; Insecta; Hemiptera; Psyllidae
Rfam family: tRNA
About the family: Transfer RNA (tRNA) molecules are approximately 80 nucleotides in length. Their secondary structure includes four short double-helical elements and three loops (D, anti-codon, and T loops).
Source: Rfam by way of RNAcentral
GCCCAGGUAGCUAAAAAGGUAGCACGUCUGCCUUGUAAGUGCUAGGUCGCGGGUUCGAUUCUCGCCCGGGGCU